CCAAAGUGCUUCAAGCCUCUGCACAUUGUAAUCGCAACAAUCAGAAGGCGACGACUUGGGUAAAUCAGUUAAUCCAUUAUCACGAUAAGCUCUCCAUAAAUAUUUCGUUAGCCAUGAAGAGAAGAGUGUCGAGCAUAAACCAGCAUUGUCGACUGAAGCAUUAUCUGUUUCUGAUUCUACUCGCCUUCUAAAUGUUGGCUGUUAUAGCCUCGAUUAUUGGGAGAGUAUCCAGGCCUGAAGUUGUUGGCUAAACCACCGCAGAAGUUGCCAAUUCCUCCCAGGGACAUACCACCACCUCCACCGCCAGAUGAACCCGAUGAGUUGAGGAAUAGUUCAAUGUAUCUGUGAGACAUGUGACUCUUAUCCUGAAAGUAAAUGCACAAAGACCAAUUGAUUUUAAAAAUAAAAUAAAAUUACUAUUAUUAUUAUUA
This is a long non-coding RNA of Diachasma alloeum, 431 nucleotides long. RefSeq lists it as uncharacterized. Lineage: Eukaryota; Metazoa; Arthropoda; Insecta; Hymenoptera; Braconidae. The record is from RefSeq and is a predicted model, not a curated record. The transcript is spliced from 2 exons.